RNAcentral lists this signal recognition particle RNA (95 nucleotides) under Pirellula sp. RNAcentral describes it as "signal recognition particle sRNA small type". It matches the Rfam family "Bacterial small signal recognition particle RNA". Rfam says of the family: The signal recognition particle (SRP) is a universally conserved ribonucleoprotein involved in the co-translational targeting of proteins to membranes. Archaeal SRP consists of a 7S RNA and homologues of the eukaryotic SRP19 and SRP54 proteins. The record is from RNAcentral. Lineage: Bacteria; Pseudomonadati; Planctomycetota; Planctomycetia; Pirellulales; Pirellulaceae. RNAcentral also lists the same sequence under 1 other name.
GUCAAGGGCUCUCGCGAGGGGGAAGCGUGAAUCUGGUCAGGACUUAAGUGUAGCAGCCAUAAGCGUCAUACUCUUGUGCGGGGGCCUUUGACGGG